ACGGGGUUCAGUUCAGACAGUUCUCCUUGUAAAGAAAAACCUCAGAAUUGGCCGUCUUUUUGGUUCUUUUGAUGAUCAAAUUAAGGAAUUGGAGGGAGAUAGAGAAAAAGCUUCAAUAUUUUAAAUCUAAGAUAAUAAGAAGAAAAGGCGCUUGGAUGUGGAGCAUGAUUUCAUGGUUAAGAGAAUGAAACUGGAGGAUGUGCAGAAGUCACAUGUUGUUGAUGCUAGUGUGUUGCCCGAGUCAACUACUAAUGAACUUCAAGAAAUUUUAGUUUGUUCCAUGACUGACUGGGCUUACAAACCUUGCUUUUAUACUUGUAUUCCAGAGAGCUAUAGAAAGGCUUCUGUCAUUUUUUCUGAGAGCGAAUUUGACGCUUAGAGGACUUGGAUGGAAGUACAAUCGAGCAACAAGAGGCCAAAUUGAAGAGUCUGAAUCAGAGACUUAUGCAUGAGGGAAAUCGAUAUGGAGUGGUU
Long non-coding RNA from Hibiscus syriacus, 474 nucleotides. RefSeq lists it as uncharacterized. Lineage: Eukaryota; Viridiplantae; Streptophyta; Magnoliopsida; Malvales; Malvaceae. The record is from RefSeq and is a predicted model, not a curated record. The transcript has 4 exons.